This 409-nucleotide ribosomal RNA is filed under the name uncultured Nitrososphaerota archaeon. RNAcentral's name for it is "bacterial SSU rRNA". It matches the Rfam family "Archaeal small subunit ribosomal RNA", at positions 452 to 861 of the family's 1478-position model. The record is from RNAcentral. Lineage: Archaea; Thermoproteati; Nitrososphaerota.
CUGGUGUCAGCCGCCGCGGUAAUACCAGCACCCCGAGUGGUCGGGACGUUUAUUGGGCCUAAAGCAUCCGUAGCCGGUUCUGCAAGUCUUCCGUUAAAUCCACCUGCUUAACAGAUGGGCCGCGGAAGAUACUAUAGAGCUAGGAGGCGGGAGAGGCAAGCGGUACUCGAUGGGUAGGGGUAAAAUCCGUUGAUCCAUUGAAGACCACCAGUGGCGAAGGCGGCUUGCCAGAACGCGCUCGACGGCGAGGGAUGAAAGCUGGGGGAGCAAACCGGAUUAGAUACCCGGGUAGUCCCAGCUGUAAACGAUGCAGACUCGGUGAUGAAUUGGCUUUAUGCCAAUUCAGUGCCGCAGGGAAGCCGUUAAGUUUGCCGCCUGGGGAGUACGGUCGCAAGACUGAAACUUAAAG